CAAAAAAGUCCAUGCUUAGAUUCAUUAUUUCUUUAGUAUUAUAAAGACCCAGAAUGAAGGUCUAAUCUCAAAACUAGCUGAAGAGAUCAGAUUCAAAUGUCGGAAUCUGUUUUUACAGAAUAUCCUUGGCAAAGUUUACUCUAAGAAAUGUAACACAGUUGGACUGUCUUCCUUUGGCUAUAAAACAUCUUUCAUAGGAAUGUCCAUUAAGGUCUGGGAGGUGGUGUGGGGGGAGUGUCUCAAUGCAAAGUGUUCUUACGUUAAUCAAAAUAUAUUUACGGAAAUAGUUGCUUAUACCUAGGUCUUAUAUUUUAGUCCCUAUACCUGGAAAUACCAGGGGGUAUUCCCAAAGGACUGAACACUGAGCACUUAUGGUUUCUCAUCCUCAUUUGUUUAUUAGUUUCUCUGCUGUAUAACACAGUCAAAGUGUUCUUUAAGCUUUAGUCACUGGAACUGGGUACCUAAAGUAAGAAACUGCCAUCAUGUUUGGUCUUAAUUUUUCCUUUGUUUUUGCCAAGAAUUGAAGAAGACUAAAACAGAUGAUCUCUCUAUUUGUACUGAGUGAGGCCUGGACAUGGUACUUCUGUCACUUUUCUAUCUCUGGAUAAAAAGUUAGAAAAAUCUGCAAAAUUGGAAGGUAUUUGAUCUAUGAGAAGACUUGGCUCUCCAUCUUGCUACCAAGAAGUUAAAGGAAGAAUUUGAAAGUUCUGAAUCUGAAUCACUUGUUCCCCUAGGCAAGAGAGUUGCACUUCUAACAUAUAUGGUUACAAUUCAAGAUUCUCAAAAGAAGGUAAAUUCAUAUCACCCACAACUUAAUUCAAUCAGAACUUCAUAAAUAAGAAGGUGAAGAUCAUUAAGCUCAUAUUAACGUUUAUCAUGGAACAUUUUAAGAGAACUGAAUGAUUCAAUUUUGAUUCAAGUUUUAAGGUAAUUGAGAGGUGACAAAAGAACUCCUUUUGCUCUGACCCAUGACCAUUGAAACUUGUCUCAAAAUAUAUUACUCUAGUUGGUGGCCUACUUCAACUAUAAUUGCAAUCUUCUAUUCAUGACUGAAAAACUCAGUCUUCAGUGUCUGCAUUAUUAAAAAGAAAUUUUAAGUAAACUGAGUAUGUUGAUGCUAUUGAAAUUGACAUUUUAAAUAAUUUUCUAAAGCAAUGUCCCAAAUUUCUGUAAUUCCAUCCAAUUCCUUUGUAUAUACAUACGCU
Molecule: long non-coding RNA, 1205 nt
Filed under: Homo sapiens (human)
Lineage: Eukaryota; Metazoa; Chordata; Mammalia; Primates; Hominidae
Description: HSALNT0073516
Source: RNAcentral